GAAAGGUUUUCACUUCGCAUUAUGUCAUAUAUAAUUCUGCCAGAGUUAUGUAACAGUCUAGGCCAUAGGGCAUUCACAUAAUGAAGAAGAACAGCAGACUUUAUUCAUGUUGCUCUUAUUACUGCAGCAAGACUAUCAUAGACUCGGUUAUAUUUGACUGAAACAUAAGACUUGUAUCAAAACAUGGAGAAAAGGACAAGCUGAAAAUGGUAAAUAACUAAGGUAGGAUUCUGUUGACUUGGCAUAGCAAUAGAGUCCUCUAUGCAACCCAUUAUGCUUCAUAGCCGCCUUCGAGCUCUGUCAGAAUUAUCAACAGCGUCUCAGAACUCAAGGGCUUUUCAAAGAACUCGUCAGCUCCAGCAUUUAGAAAUGCUUGUCUAUCCCUUUCACACCAGCAAGAAGUUGUGCCAACAAUCUUGGAGCGUACGCCCAUGGCACGCAUCUGCCUAGUUAUCUCAGGUCCAUCCAUGUCAGGAAGGUUAAUAUCAAUGACAAUGAGAUUGAAACUAUUGCCCAUAAGCACGUUUAUUGCAGCUGUGCCAUUGUCCACAUCUUGGGUGUCAACACCAUAGUGUUGAAGAAUUCCCUUCUGCACCAUCCUGUAAAUACUAUCUCCGUCUAAAAGAAGAGCAGUAGGCCUGUUCCUAUUCACCACAGAAUAAAAUCCAUUGCUUGGAUUUUGAGAUGGGCGUCCAAAAUGCAUCGGCCCUCUGCCACUGCUUGAGUUUCCUCCAUGUCCAGAUGAAUUAGACGAGGCAAUUGGAGGUUCCAUUGCUUGUCCAAGCUAACCAGCCUGCCGAUCUAAAUUUAAAGGGCUUCACAGAAUAAUAGGUACUCGAGUGAUUUGGUUUCCAUCCAUAGUUGAUAGUUUUUUAAAAAAUACCGAUUUCCUCAUGAUAUUGAGUCCAGUCGAAAACAGGUACCUCACCUCCCUAGCCCUCACACCGUUCCAAGCAGCGUGAUCACACUUUUAUCUGUUCUCGCUUGUGAUAUCCGAU
This 998-nucleotide unclassified non-coding RNA is filed under the name Hevea brasiliensis (rubber tree). Lineage: Eukaryota; Viridiplantae; Streptophyta; Magnoliopsida; Malpighiales; Euphorbiaceae. The record is from RNAcentral.